AUUGAACGCUGGCGGCAGGCCUAACACAUGCAAGUCGAGCGGAUGAAGGGAGCUUGCUCCUGGAUUCAGCGGCGGACGGGGGAGUAAUGCCUAGGAAUCUGCCUGGUAGUGGGGGAUAACGUCCGGAAACGGGCGCUAAUACCGCAUACGUCCUGAGGGAGAAAGUGGGGGAUCUUCGGACCUCACGCUAUCAGAUGAGACUAGGUCGGAUUAGCUAGUUGGUGGGGUAAGGGCCUACCAAGGCGACGAUCCGUAACUGGUCUGAGAGGAUGAUCAGUCACACUGGAACUGAGACACGGUCCAGACUCCUACGGGAGGCAGCAGUGGGGAAUAUUGGACAAUGGGCGAAAGCCUGAUCCAGCCAUGCCGCGUGUGUGAAGAAGGUCUUCGGAUUGUAAAGCACUUUAAGUUGGGAGGAAGGGCAGUAAGUUAAUACCUUGCUGUUUUGACGUUACCAACAGAAUAAGCACCGGCUAACUUCGUG
RNAcentral lists this ribosomal RNA (484 nucleotides) under uncultured bacterium. RNAcentral's name for it is "partial 16S ribosomal RNA". It matches the Rfam family "Bacterial small subunit ribosomal RNA", at positions 30 to 507 of the family's 1533-position model. The record is from RNAcentral.